GCCACCCUAGCUCAAUUGGCAGAGCGGUUCAUUCGUAAUGAACAGGUUAUGGGUUCAAGUCCCAUGGGUGGCU
Molecule: transfer RNA, 73 nt
Filed under: Chloroflexota bacterium
Lineage: Bacteria; Bacillati; Chloroflexota
Also listed under: 1 other name
Description: Chloroflexi bacterium tRNA-Thr
Rfam family: tRNA
About the family: Transfer RNA (tRNA) molecules are approximately 80 nucleotides in length. Their secondary structure includes four short double-helical elements and three loops (D, anti-codon, and T loops).
Source: RNAcentral